GAAAUGCGAUAAGUAAUUUGAAUUGCAGAAUUCAGUGAAUCAUCGAAUCUUUGAACGCACAUUGCGCCCGCCAGUAUUCUGGCGGGCAUGCCUGUUCGAGCGUCAUUUCAACCAUCAAGCCCCCGGCUUGUGUUGGGGACCUGCGGCUGCCCGCAGGCCCUGAAAAACAGUGGCGGGCUCGCUGUCACACCGAGCGUAGUAGCAUACAUUCUCGCUCAGGGCGUGCUGCGGGUUCCGGCCGUUAAACGACCUUCAUAACCCAAGGUUGACCUCGGAUCAGGUAGGAAGACCCGCUGAACUUAAGC
This 305-nucleotide unclassified non-coding RNA is filed under the name plant metagenome. Its description in RNAcentral is "partial contains 5.8S ribosomal RNA, internal transcribed spacer 2, and large subunit ribosomal RNA". The stretch from base 1 to 105 matches the Rfam family "5.8S ribosomal RNA", at positions 50 to 154 of the family's 154-position model. The record is from RNAcentral.